AGAGUCCAGCGCAUAAUCUCCCGGGCUACCCAGCCUGCGGCGAACUGUUGCGUAAUGGGAAAAACCGCACUAAAGCCCUGUACAGCGUGUUCUAAAUACGAUUUGAAUAUUCACUAAGGCUUAACGGUCUUUAACGGUUCCACAGAGGGUGACAGACCCGUGUGCGUUCCACGUGAUAUAUUUGUACAGUGGUUCGGUUUCUUUCCCGGAGAGUCGCGCUGCUUGAUAAUUCAGCGCUAAGCUGGUCGUAAACUCGACCAAAGACUAAAUAUAUCCACAGAACCGAUAGUAAACAAGUACCGUGAGGGAAAGUUGAAAAGCACUCUGAAGAGAGAGUCAAAAGACCGUGAAACCGCUUAGAGUAUAAGCCAAUGGUAUCCCGGAAGGCUAGAGCUGCCAGUUCGCCACUAACAGUCGGGCUGGUAUCGUGUGUGCAGUGAUACAAGGCGGACAAAGUAGCCUCGAGUGGCGAAACCUCUCUAACUUGCGGGUCUGUGACAGUGGUAACUGGUGACGCUCUAAUGUGAGACGAACCUAGGCUGGACUUAUGCAAGCAGUGCCGUUGUUGAACACACUAACGAGUAGCUAAAACAGCCCACCACAACUCUUUAUGAGGUCACACGCACUUAGCGAUGAGGUGUGUGUGUGACUGCCCGGCGCAUGCGUGAGAUUUAAGUCGCUCUCGGAAGUUGCCGGCCUGAUCUCGCGCUCUUCCAAAGUGUGUGCUUAUGAUCCUCUGUGAAGUGUUGCUUUCUGGCACGGCAUUGUCUAGCGGUUGGCUUUCUCAAGGGCGUUACUCUUGAGGGUCGCGACGAGUUGCCCUAGCGAUUUAGAUUCCGCUGACCGUGAGGAUGAAUGGUGACUUAUUCCGGGGCCAUCGGUCACGUCUCGAAACACGGGCCAAGGAGAAUAGCAUGUGCGCAAGUCUAAGGGUCUAACUAAACCCCGAGGCGAAGCGAAAGCAAAUGGUGUGUCAGUUAACGCUGGCAGCCUGCAAAGCCCCUCUCUUUCUUGAGAGAGGGCCCCGGCUAUGAACUGAGCUGAUCCUUUGGUAAUGUCUCCCGACUAUACCUGGGCGCAAGCUCCAGUCUCUGUCACAAUCGUUGCAGCGAUGACGGAGAACUGUCUAGCGUGCAUGCUAUAACCCGAAAGAUAGUGAACUAUGCCUGACGA
RNAcentral lists this ribosomal RNA (1173 nucleotides) under Eusiroides georgiana. RNAcentral's name for it is "partial 28S ribosomal RNA". It matches the Rfam family "Eukaryotic large subunit ribosomal RNA", at positions 104 to 843 of the family's 3401-position model. Lineage: Eukaryota; Metazoa; Arthropoda; Malacostraca; Amphipoda; Pontogeneiidae. The record is from RNAcentral.